UGGGGAAUAUUGGACAGUGGGCGAAAGCCUGAUCCAGCCAUGCCGCGUGUGUGAAGAAGGUCUUCGGAUUGUAAAGCACUUUAAGUUGGGAGGAAGGGCAUUAACCUAAUACGUUAGUGUUUUGACGUUACCGACAGAAUAAGCACCGGCUAACUCUGUGCCAGCAGCCGCGGUAAUACAGAGGGGGCAAGCGUUAAUCGGAAUUACUGGGCGUAAAGCGCGCGUAGGUGGUUUGUUAAGUUGGAUGUGAAAUCCCCGGGCUCAACCUGGGAACUGCAUUCAAAACUGACUGACUAGAGUAUGGUAGAGGGUGGUGGAAUUUCCUGUGUAGCGGUGAAAUGCGUAGAUAUAGGAAGGAACACCAGUGGCGAAGGCGACCACCUGGACUAAUACUGACACUGAGGUGCGAAAGCGUGGGGAGCAAACA
RNAcentral lists this ribosomal RNA (427 nucleotides) under uncultured bacterium. RNAcentral's name for it is "partial 16S ribosomal RNA". It matches the Rfam family "Bacterial small subunit ribosomal RNA", at positions 355 to 774 of the family's 1533-position model. The record is from RNAcentral.